This 206-nucleotide ribosomal RNA is filed under the name uncultured bacterium. RNAcentral's name for it is "partial 16S ribosomal RNA". It matches the Rfam family "Bacterial small subunit ribosomal RNA", at positions 568 to 774 of the family's 1533-position model. The record is from RNAcentral.
UGCGUAGGCGGUUGAUUAAGUUGGAUGUGAAAUACCCGGGCUUAACUUGGGGGUGCAUUCAAAACUGGUUAACUAGAGUACAGGAGAGGGAAGCGGAAUUCCUAGUGUAGCGGUGAAAUGCGUAGAUAUUAGGAAGAACACCAGUGGCGAAGGCGGCUUACUGGGCUUUAACUGACGCUGAGGCUCGAAAGCGUGGGUAGCAAACA